AGAGACAGCAGUCGCCGCGGUAAAACGUAGGUCCCGAGCGUUGUCCGGAUUUAUUGGGCGUAAAGCGAGCGCAGGCGGUUAGAUAAGUCUGAAGUUAAAGGCUGUGGCUUAACCAUAGUACGCUUUGGAAACUGUUUAACUUGAGUGCAAGAGGGGAGAGUGGAAUUCCAUGUGUAGCGGUGAAAUGCGUAGAUAUAUGGAGGAACACCGGUGGCGAAAGCGGCUCUCUGGCUUGUAACUGACGCUGAGGCUCGAAAGCGUGGGGCGCAAACAGGAUUAGAUACCCCUGUAGUCCCUGUCUCUUAUACA
RNAcentral lists this ribosomal RNA (309 nucleotides) under uncultured bacterium. RNAcentral describes it as "partial 16S ribosomal RNA". It matches the Rfam family "Bacterial small subunit ribosomal RNA", at positions 504 to 808 of the family's 1533-position model. The record is from RNAcentral.